AUCUAAAUCACUCGUGAUUUUCACUAACACUGAAUUAAUAUGCCUCAGUAAAAUACAAAGGUAUUUCACUAUCUAGAACUGGCACACUUACAUAAAGCCGCCUUUUGUUAUCGGUGAACCAUUCGCUGUUUCGCUUCGAGUAUUUCCGAUUACUAACUAACUGCUGCGUGCCAUCUCUGCAACGCUUUUAUAGUCGAUACGACAUCCCUGGAAUCGUCGAGAACAUUCCUCACAAGUCGAGUAGCUUCGAUGUGUGUUUCCGCUAUCUGGCAAUAGAUGGCGUUGUACUUCCCGAGCGUUCUAGAUGUUACUAGAUCCUUCGAUAUUCGUUCGGCUAUUCGGCGAUAGAUGGCGUUACUCUUACCGGCGUAACAGUUAAGUGAUCGCUGAAGCCUGUGUAUAUUACAGCUUGAAUAUUGAAACUUCCACCUCAUGUAGCAACAUCGGUUGAAACAACCAUAUGGCGGCAUUGGUUAGUAUUUAUAGGCUCCGCUAACUAUUUCAUACUAGUAAACAGUGAACUCGUUCAUCUGUCUAUGCUGUAUAACGCUCUGUCAUAUUUUUAAUAUAAAUUGUAGCAUAGAAACUAGAAAUGGCGCCUGCAAUGUGAAAAGAUAGCGAACUCUGUGUCUUUUUCUGAAUGGUUAACUUUUAUGUGACAAAACUGCUGUUAAUUUUGCUUCUUAAACAUCCUUGAAAUAUUUGAAAGAUAUUAAAAAAAGUACGAACAUUUAA
Molecule: long non-coding RNA, 735 nt
Organism: Bombyx mori (domestic silkworm)
Lineage: Eukaryota; Metazoa; Arthropoda; Insecta; Lepidoptera; Bombycidae
Exons: 2
Source: RefSeq, a predicted model, not a curated record